AGUAUAGUUUUUAGUGGUUCAGUUGGUGGCUCUUUUCAGCUAUCCUGUUUAACUGGCAGUUGAGUCCUGUUUAGUGCAGCAUUACGUAAACAGGAAGAGUUUCGGAAAGUUCUGAACUUGGCUGGCAUUGAUUUUGUUACCGUUAAGUUACGGCUGGAUAGGGAGGUUUUCAUCCUGAUUCCGAGCAACGCUUGUGCUGGAUUCGAUGAUCUAUUUGGGUGUGCCUUCUUCGACUUGACCACAAUUCAUGAUGAGCAUAAAGGUGAUACGGAAACCAUAUUACAAGCUGAUUUUUAUCAUGCCAAUGAGUUGCUGCCUUUGGAAGA
Long non-coding RNA from Hibiscus syriacus, 326 nucleotides. RefSeq lists it as uncharacterized. NCBI's taxonomy places the organism in Eukaryota, Viridiplantae, Streptophyta, Magnoliopsida, Malvales, Malvaceae. The record is from RefSeq and is a predicted model, not a curated record. The transcript is spliced from 3 exons.